RNAcentral lists this transfer RNA (77 nucleotides) under Allosphingorhabdus lutea. RNAcentral's name for it is "Sphingopyxis sp. LPB0140 tRNA-Ile". It matches the Rfam family "tRNA". Rfam says of the family: Transfer RNA (tRNA) molecules are approximately 80 nucleotides in length. The record is from RNAcentral. Lineage: Bacteria; Pseudomonadati; Pseudomonadota; Alphaproteobacteria; Sphingomonadales; Sphingorhabdaceae.
GGGCCGGUAGCUCAGGUGGUUAGAGCGCACGCCUGAUAAGCGUGAGGUCGCAGGUUCGAGUCCUGCUCGGCCCACCA